This 673-nucleotide unclassified non-coding RNA is filed under the name Hevea brasiliensis (rubber tree). The record is from RNAcentral. Lineage: Eukaryota; Viridiplantae; Streptophyta; Magnoliopsida; Malpighiales; Euphorbiaceae.
GUUUUACCAGUGUCUUUGGGUUACCAAACUAAAGUUCAAAUCAGAUCCAUGUAAUUCCCUAUUUUUAGGGCCUAGACAUAUAACUUUAUAACUAUGACUUGUAACUUUUUAUGACUAUCUAUGAGAGAGAUGUUUAUACCACAAACUACUUCGAAAUGAAAAUAUAUAAAGAAGUCAAAAACUUACAAUGCCAGCACAAGCAUUGAUAUGAAAAAACACAAUCCCAUGCAACAAAAGCAUUAUUUUCCUUAUAAUUUAUAUAAUCCCCAAGGGAAUGCCCUAAUGAUUAGAAUUUAGAAUUCCACACUGGGGAUUCCAAGCUCUAAUCUGAUCAACGUUGGGCUUGUUCUAUGAAAUGAGGGUGGACUAACCCCUAUCAUGUAGAAAAGGGGAAAAUAUGAAUAAAUACAAAUUGAUGAUAAACUAAUCAACUUAGUCAAUAAAAAUAUUCUGCAUUUGUAAUCAUCUUAUAUACAUUUUUGUGAGAAAUUAGGAGUGUAAGCAAACUAGUGAGCUCAGUGAACAGUUACUGCACAAGCUUGAUAAGAGCCUGUUUUGUGAUUGUUUAUAAUAUUUGUGAAUUUGAUCUUUGUAAGCUUAUUUAUUUAGUAUUUUGAUAUUAGACAAAAGUUGAUUAUUAACCACUUUCAGGCUUUUAAAAUUCAUAAUUUUA